This 466-nucleotide ribosomal RNA is filed under the name uncultured bacterium. RNAcentral's name for it is "partial 16S ribosomal RNA". It matches the Rfam family "Bacterial small subunit ribosomal RNA", at positions 28 to 507 of the family's 1533-position model. The record is from RNAcentral.
GAUGAACGCUGGCGGCGUGCUUAACACAUGCAAGUCGAACGAUGAAGCCCAGCUUGCUGGGUGGAUUAGUGGCGAACGGGUGAGUAACACGUGAGUAACCUGCCCUUAACUCUGGGAUAAGCCUGGGAAACUGGGUCUAAUACCGGAUAGGAGCGUCCACCGCAUGGUGGGUGUUGGAAAGAUUUAUCGGUUUUGGAUGGACUCGCGGCCUAUCAGCUUGUUGGUGAGGUACUGGCUCACCAAGGCGACGACGGGUAGCCGGCCUGAGAGGGUGACCGGCCACACUGGGACUGAGACACGGCCCAGACUCCUACGGGAGGCAGCAGUGGGGAAUAUUGCACAAUGGGCGCAAGCCUGAUGCAGCGACGCCGCGUGAGGGAUGACGGCCUUCGGGUUGUAAACCUCUUUCAGUAGGGAAGAAGCGAAAGUGACGGUACCUGCAGAAGAAGCACCGGCUAACUACGUG